RNAcentral lists this ribosomal RNA (253 nucleotides) under uncultured bacterium. RNAcentral describes it as "partial 16S ribosomal RNA". It matches the Rfam family "Bacterial small subunit ribosomal RNA", at positions 524 to 776 of the family's 1533-position model. The record is from RNAcentral.
GACGUAGGGGGCCAGCGUUGUUCGGAAUUACUGGGUGUAAAGGGUUCGUAGGCGGUGUGGCAAGUCGGGAGUGAAAUCUCUGGGCUCAACCCAGAGUCUGCUUCCGAAACUGCUGUGCUUGAGUGUGGGAGAGGCGCGUGGAAUUGCAGGUGUAGCGGUGAAAUGCGUAGAUAUCUGUAGGAACACCAGUGGCGAAGGCGGUCUCUUGGGGCAUUCUUGACGCUGAGGCGCGAAAGCUGGGGGAGCGAACGGG